AAGGUGGAGAGGCCGUGUGGGUCACCAGGCGAGAGGAGAGAGAGAGAGAGAGAGACACACAGACCGGCUGGCCGGUGGUUGAUAUAAUACGUGAACGUGACAAUCUAUGUGCAGUUUUACCUUACAGUGUUGUGCUGGUGUGUGUGUGAAGGCCUCGCUGCGGUUCAGGGGAUCAACGCAGCAGCCUCAUCACAGGGAUGUGAUGACACCACAUGAGGAGUGGUGCAGUUAGUCUGCCUCUUACAUCAUGCAGUUGCCACCAGGCAGCCCUGAGUGCUGACUGCACACAUACUUGGUUGCUACUGUGUUGUGGAAGAAUCAAGGAGAGUGAGGAUAUCAGCCACAGACUCCAAGUAGAAAAGAGGAAUCUGUUUCUGCAGAAGAGGGUCGUUGGCCAGGGAAAGGUUCCGAGCGUCCUGCAAGGUGGCCACCCCAGUCAACACCAGCACCGACCACAUCCCACACUCAUUUCCAAACAUGAUGUCAGAUGCCAGCCUUCAAGAAGAGAAAACAAUAUAUGCUACAAACAAGAAGUGCGAACACACUGAAUCAUCAAUGUUUUCUCUAAAGUAUUUACUAUACUACCCAGUGUCAAUCUAACACUGUUAUUUAGUCACCUGAGGACCCAUAACAUUGCAAUUAGGCAAUGCUUUUGUCCCCAAACAAUUCUAUAUUCCCUUUUUGUUUUGAUUUUUCAAUAAUAUUACACCCACCAAAAUUCCUUACUUCUGUGAUAUCUUAUUAUAUUAUAGAUUUUACCCAGAAUCUUCAAAAUAUGUUUUAGGACAUUAUUAAUUAAUCUGGUUUUAAAACAAAACUAGAUCUAAUAUGCAGAAAAGGCAAUCAGUGAAUGACUUAUCUAGGUUAACAAGUUUGUGUACAUGAAGACAUGUUUGGUUAUAAGUCAUUUUGGCUUGGACAGAUUCCUUGUUAAACUUUGCAGAAUCUUGUUGAGUCUGGAAACUUGGCAAGUCAUGAGAUUUUAAUGUUUAUGGUAUAUGUAUCAUGCUUAUAUGGACCUUCAGAAAGGAAGACCAAGGAUGGGAUGUUGUGCAUUAGGAGAGAGAGAGAGAGAGAGAGAGAGAGAGAGAGAGAGACAGACAGACCAGACCAUCCUCAACUUGUCUAGGUGUGACUUCCAAUGUGGGACACCUCAAAUGUGAGUGGCCAACACAUAGUAAAAAAAUUAUUCUGAAUAUCACCCCUCAGUCUCACUCUCAACAUAUUCAGAAUAAUUUUUUUACCGAGACUGAGGGUGAUAUGCAUGAGAAUUGGACUACCAUGGUUUUGUAAUUACUAACCACAGCUGCUUCAUCAUACCCACCCAACCACCCCACCCCACCCCACAGUAUAUUAUUGUCUUUUGUCACAGCCACUCAGAUAAGCACUCAUUUCCAAACAAGAUGUCAGAUGCCUGGCUAUCAAGGGUUAAAAUAAAAACUGAUAUAUAAUUACAAACCACAGUUGUUCGCCACCCCUAUCUCUCUCUCUCUCUCUCUCUCUCUCUCUCUCUCUCUCUCUCUCUCUCUCUCUCUCUCUCUCUCUCUCUCUCCACACCUCACAGCCCCACAGUAUGUCCCCCCACAGUAUAUUUACAAACCACAGUUGCUCUCCACAACCUCUUGUAUAAUGCUAGGUCUCUCUCUCUCUCUCUCUCUCUCUCUCUCUCUCUCUCUCUCUCUCUCUCUCUCUCUCUCUCUCUCUCUCCAGUAUGUCCCCCCACAGUAUAUUUACAAACCACAGUUGCUCUCCACAACCUCUUGUACAAGCUAGGGCUCUCUCUCUCUCUCUCUCGUGCUUACAGUACCGAGGCUGAGCUUUGGGAUCAAAUGGUCCUGGAAUAAGGAGUUGAACAUGCCAAUAGUCAUAUUCUUCCUUGUGUUGAGUAAGCACGUGGCUUGCUAUGGGUAAUCUUGCAUGAUUUUCUGAAUAUUGUGAUGCAUUUUCAUCUUCAUGAACUAAGAAUUCUGGGUUGUGAUACUUGUCAAUAUGUGAUGCAUUUUCAUAUUCAUGAACUAAGAAUUCUGGCUUGUGAUACUUGUCAAUAUCCUCCACAGGCACAACAUUCACUGCUUUUUGCUUAACUUUAGAUUUUGACCACUGUUUGGGCUUCCUUACGUUUUCUUGAUUAGGCGAUGCACCUAAUCCCAAGGUACUCUGUUCAUCAGAUGGAAAGUCUGAGGAAACACGUUGUGUUGAAGUAUCUUUGAAUAUAUAAAAUGCUUGACUAUUAGUCUCUGAAGGCAAAUCUUGGAUACAUCAGCCAGCUGGACCACCCAGUGCAGGCCCACUUCUGUUACCACCAACCCUAUGAUCCUGGGAUUUCAGGGCAGAAAGGGCCACAUGCUCAUUCUGAACCGCUAAUCUCUUGGUCAUCCAUCCUCCCCUCUAUGGUAGAAUGACUCGCUCUAAUCUGGAACAUCUUGCGGGAUUCCUGAAGACUACACAGAGGCUUUGCUCCUGCUUGAAGGCCUUUCUCAUAAAUGGCAUCAGCUCACUUAUAAUUGCUAGUCUUCUCCAAUUCCCAUACCCAUUUUGAUGUAGUAUUCUGCCAAAGAUAAACAUGAGCCUUUUGUC
This is a long non-coding RNA of Scylla paramamosain (green mud crab), 2577 nucleotides long. RefSeq lists it as uncharacterized. NCBI's taxonomy places the organism in Eukaryota, Metazoa, Arthropoda, Malacostraca, Decapoda, Portunidae. The transcript has 3 exons. The record is from RefSeq and is a predicted model, not a curated record.